Long non-coding RNA from Crocodylus porosus (Australian saltwater crocodile), 1624 nucleotides. The record is from Ensembl. Lineage: Eukaryota; Metazoa; Chordata; Crocodylia; Crocodylidae.
GCUGGCUGCUCCUUUUCUGGGAAUUUGGCACAGGAAAGAGGCUCCCUCUUGCGACUAAAUGCAAUUGCUACAGGCCCAGGGAACCCGGAGGCGGUGCGUUCCUGGGAGUCUGGACUGGCUGCUCAGCACUGGGCAAAUACUGGCCAGAGCUCUCUUCCUCCGCUGCCCUGAGGGCUGGCACGUGCUGGGGGGGUUGUCAAGCCAAGACCAUGUGGGAGAAAGCAGGUCUGAUGUCUCUUCCCAUCUCAUUUUUAUCGGGCUACAUCCUCCCUCCCACCCCCACUCGCGUGGAUGCAGAAAGGAAACGACUGGCUUCCUUUCCUUGGCUGCAGCCAGCUUCCUUCCUUCGACUCCCGCCGCCCGGGGUUGCGUCAGCGGACCCUUCAGACCGUGCCUUGCAAACCACAGCACAGGACAUAAAAGAGCCGGGCUCAGCGAGACGGAAGCGAAAGCCAAAAGCGGGCUGGCAGGCCGCAUUAUCAGUGUCACAUUGAAAACCGACGCCGGGGCAGCCGCACGCCAAACCCGACAGGAACUGCACGCCCCAGCGCGUCUCCCACCCGGGGCUUCGAGACGCAAACAAGUCUCGGCUCAAGAAGCAUCCAAGUGAGGGCUGACAGCCACAAUGGAGACGUGAAAUUCCUCUGCGCUGCGUGACAGGUGCCUCCGCCAGCCCCGGGUUAAGCACACAGGUGUAGCCCAGCAAGAAACCAUUUGAUUUCUCCUAGUAGCGACUGUUUCCCCUGCCAAGCCAUUGUCUGCGAGGAAGACCGCUCCCCUGGCAUAGGUCAGCCAAGCUGCCUGGAAAAAAGCAGCUUUGUUUCAAGAGAUACCGGAUGCUAGAAAGGCCCUUUUCUACACUCCCCCAGAGCACAAAUUGGUUCCCUCCCCAAGCAGCAUGACGAGGAGACCUGAUGAGAGAGGGGGCCGUUUCUGAAUGAGCCAGGUCAGGCAGAUCCAUUGUAGAACGCCCCUAUUCCUGUGUACGAUACAUUUGCUUCUUCCAGGAGUUAAUAUCCAAGACAAUGGUAACUACGGCAACAAUAAUACUCCUCUUUCCUGUGUGGAAGCUCCAUUCCCAUGGUCUCAACAUCCCUUAAAAACCCCUCAUCCCUGUUGCUUCACAACCCCACAAAUUUACAUUGCCCCCAUUUUACAGAUGGGGGAAACUGAGGCACCAAGCAGUGAAAUGGCUUGCUCAAGGCCUCCUAAGAAUGGGGGGGUGGGAUUAACAUGGAGCCCGAGGGUCUAGAUGUAUCUAGCUGUCGCUGAGAGCUUCAGAGGGGAUGCACCAUACAAAACCUGGGAGGCCUCCUUCUCUCUCCUUCGCACCUUAAGUUGCCAAAACCAGACAGGGGACAAAGAAGCGCAGAAUUAAGCCCAGCAGGGUACACAGCCAUGCCCUGAAAAUAGAGACAUCCCGGUCUGGUAACAGAAGACUGUGCUGAAGCUCCUCAUUAUUAUUAUCAAUCAAGGAGGCUGCCAGGAUCUGCCUGUCUCUGUGCCUGGUUUUGCCCAGGGCUCUGAGCAGGCAGGAGUGGCUCACAUAUCAGCAAGGAUCCUGGUUUUCUCUGAUUUAAAAAAAAAUCCAGUUUUUGGAUUAAUAAAAGUAACCCCAAAUCCA